Long non-coding RNA from Mesocricetus auratus (golden hamster), 1117 nucleotides. RefSeq lists it as uncharacterized. The record is from RefSeq and is a predicted model, not a curated record. The transcript has 4 exons. NCBI's taxonomy places the organism in Eukaryota, Metazoa, Chordata, Mammalia, Rodentia, Cricetidae.
AGUUCUUCUUGUUGCCGAUGAAUGUUUGCCUCUAUCAUCCGUGUCCGCUGCUCCAGCUGGUCUUUUAGAUGCUGCAUGGCUCCUAACUGCGCUGAAAACUGAAACUGAAGCGGCACAUGUGAACAAGAGAACAAAGUGAAAAGCUGAGCAAGAACAACACAGUAAGCGGCACCAUCAAAGCACAGAUGUCAUCCCAAAUGUCCUAAGGAACAGAAAAAGAAUUGGACAACCACUCAUCUGCAAUCCUUUAAAUGACUGGCACGUCUUUUCAAGGAGACUACUCCUAUAAUCCAAAGCUAUGGCCAUAGUGAAGUUCAAAAAAGAAGAAAAGCUGCCUUCAGAUAUCAACAGCCACUCUGUGUACAACUGUAUUUGCAAAAUUCUUAAAGAACUGGAGUCAUCAUACAGUGAAUUAUAUGUAGCCAUAAUUAAACAAGCUGGUUAAUUUCUGACUUAUAUCUAUAAAACCCUGAGGAUCUAAGCAAUUCAAUGAAAUAAUAUAAAAGAUUCUGUUCACCAGCUCUAGACACUAUUAACCGUAAGAUUUACAAGAAAGGAAGAAGAGAGGGAGGUAGGGAGGAAGGAAGGAAGGAAGGAAGCUACCAAAUAAAGCCUGAGAAGUAAAUUUUAACACCCAUGAAAUGUUAGAGGUGUUAAAAUGAAAACAGCAACUAUAACAAUACAACCUUAAGAAACAAGGCCGGAGAGGAAGUCCAGAGGUAUAGCACUUGACUAGUAUACAUUAAUAGGCUUUGGUUGUCAUUCCCAGCACCCCCCUCCAAAAAAAAAAAAAAAAAAGAAAAAGAAAGGUUUUUACAGUCAAAGAAAUAAAUAAGGAAGUUUAUCUUUUCCCCAAGACUCAUAUGUAAAGAUUAAAAACUAACUAAUGAACUAACGAUCCUAAUUACAUUUAUGAAUUAUCAGUCACAAGGGCUAAGAUGCUUGCAGAGAUAGAGGUAGCACCAAUAGACUCCACCCAAGAGUCUAAAAGGGGCCAGAGAAUCAUUCAUAAACAUUAUUGUUUUUUCAGAACAGUUGACUAAAACUCCCAAAAUUACGAAUAAAUACUCAUUUGUAACAUAAACUCUAAGAUAGUCACUUUUGGCUUUUAAAACUA